AGCUUGCUUUUGAUGGGCGUCGACCGGCGCACGGGUGAGUAACGCGUAUCCAACCUGCCCACCACUUGGGGAUAACCUUGCGAAAGUAAGACUAAUACCCAAUGAUAUCUCUAGAAGGCAUCUGAAUGGGAUUAAAGAUUUAUCGGUGAUGGAUGGGGAUGCGUCUGAUUAGCUUGUUGGCGGGGUAACGGCCCACCAAGGCAACGAUCAGUAGGGGUUCUGAGAGGAAGGUCCCCCACAUUGGAACUGAGACACGGUCCAAACUCCUACGGGAGGCAGCAGUGAGGAAUAUUGGUCAAUGGGCGAGAGCCUGAACCAGCCAAGUAGCGUGCAGGAUGACGGCCCUAUGGGUUGUAAACUGCUUUUAUAAGGGAAUAAAGUGAGUCUCGUGAGACUUUUUGCAUGUACCUUAUGAAUAAGGACCGGCUAAUUCCGUGCCAGCAGCCGCGGUAAUACGGAAGGUCCGGGCGUUAUCCGGAUUUAUUGGGUUUAAAGGGAGCGUAGGCCGGAGAUUAAGCGUGUUGUGAAAUGUAGAGGCUCAACGUCUGCACUGCAGCGCGAACUGGUUUCCUUGAGUACGCACAAAGUGGGCGGAAUCGUGGUUAGCG
This 608-nucleotide ribosomal RNA is filed under the name uncultured Prevotella sp. RNAcentral describes it as "bacterial SSU rRNA". It matches the Rfam family "Bacterial small subunit ribosomal RNA", at positions 71 to 680 of the family's 1533-position model. The record is from RNAcentral. Lineage: Bacteria; Pseudomonadati; Bacteroidota; Bacteroidia; Bacteroidales; Prevotellaceae.